RNAcentral lists this ribosomal RNA (533 nucleotides) under Bifidobacterium bifidum. Its description in RNAcentral is "bacterial SSU rRNA". It matches the Rfam family "Bacterial small subunit ribosomal RNA", at positions 160 to 705 of the family's 1533-position model. The record is from RNAcentral. Lineage: Bacteria; Bacillati; Actinomycetota; Actinomycetes; Bifidobacteriales; Bifidobacteriaceae.
GUGGUAAUGCCGGAUGUUCCACAUGAUCGCAUGUGAUUGUGGGAAAGAUUCUAUCGGCGUGGGAUGGGGUCGCGUCCUAUCAGCUUGUUGGUGAGGUAACGGCUCACCAAGGCUUCGACGGGUAGCCGGCCUGAGAGGGCGACCGGCCACAUUGGGACUGAGAUACGGCCCAGACUCCUACGGGAGGCAGCAGUGGGGAAUAUUGCACAAUGGGCGCAAGCCUGAUGCAGCGACGCCGCGUGAGGGAUGGAGGCCUUCGGGUUGUAAACCUCUUUUGUUUGGGAGCAAGCCUUCGGGUGAGUGUACCUUUCGAAUAAGCGCCGGCUAACUACGUGCCAGCAGCCGCGGUAAUACGUAGGGCGCAAGCGUUAUCCGGAUUUAUUGGGCGUAAAGGGCUCGUAGGCGGCUCGUCGCGUCCGGUGUGAAAGUCCAUCGCUUAACGGUGGAUCUGCGCCGGGUACGGGCGGGCUGGAGUGCGGUAGGGGAGACUGGAAUUCCCGGUGUAACGGUGGAAUGUGUAGAUAUCGGAAAAA